This 229-nucleotide ribosomal RNA is filed under the name uncultured bacterium. Its description in RNAcentral is "partial 16S ribosomal RNA". It matches the Rfam family "Bacterial small subunit ribosomal RNA", at positions 568 to 796 of the family's 1533-position model. The record is from RNAcentral.
CAAGUAGGCGGCUUGGUAAGCGAGGGGUGAAAUCUUCCGACUCAAUCGGAAAACUGCCUUUCGAACUGUCAGGCUUGAGGUAGAUAGAGGGAAAUGGAAUUUCCGGUGUAAGGGUGAAAUCUGUAGAUAUCGGAAAGAACACCAACGGCGAAGGCAAUUUCCUGGGUCUAUCCUGACGCUGAAUUGCGAAAGCUAGGGGAGCAAACAGGAUUAGAUACCCUGGUAGUCC